AGCAGUAUUGAACUGAAGAGUUUGAUCAUGGCUCAGAUUGAACGCUGGUGGCAGGCCUAACACAUGCAAGUCGAGCGGAUGAAGGGAGCUUGCUCCUGGAUUCAGCGGCGGACGGGUGAGUAAUGCCUAGGAAUCUGCCUGGUAGUGGGGGAUAACGUCCGGAAACGGGCGCUAAUACCGC
RNAcentral lists this ribosomal RNA (181 nucleotides) under Pseudomonas aeruginosa. RNAcentral describes it as "partial 16S ribosomal RNA". It matches the Rfam family "Bacterial small subunit ribosomal RNA", at positions 1 to 172 of the family's 1533-position model. The record is from RNAcentral. Lineage: Bacteria; Pseudomonadati; Pseudomonadota; Gammaproteobacteria; Pseudomonadales; Pseudomonadaceae.